RNAcentral lists this ribosomal RNA (433 nucleotides) under Acanthamoeba genotype T4. RNAcentral's name for it is "bacterial SSU rRNA". It matches the Rfam family "Eukaryotic small subunit ribosomal RNA", at positions 773 to 1098 of the family's 1831-position model. Lineage: Eukaryota; Discosea; Longamoebia; Acanthamoebidae. The record is from RNAcentral.
GAUUCGGGAAGGGGGUUCAUUUUCUGCCACCGAAUACAUUAGCAUGGGAUAAUGGAAUAGGACCCUGUCCUCCUAUUUUCAGUUGGUUUUGGCAGCGCGAGGACUAGGGUAAUGAUUAAUAGGGAUAGUUGGGGGCAUUAAUAUUUAAUUGUCAGAGGUGAAAUUCUUGGAUUUAUGAAAGAUUAACUUCUGCGAAAGCAUCUGCCAAGGAUGUUUUCAUUAAUCAAGAACGAAAGUUAGGGGAUCGAAGACGAUCAGAUACCGUCGUAGUCUUAACCAUAAACGAUGCCGACCAGCGAUUAGGAGACGUUGAAUACAAAACACCACCAUCGGCGCGGUCGUCCUUGGCCUGCGUCUCGUUUCGGCGAGGCGUUGGCGGGGGCGGCUUAGCCCGGUGGCACCGGUGAAUGACUCCCUAGCACCUUGGUGAGAA